Molecule: transfer RNA, 86 nt
Filed under: Anaerolineae bacterium
Lineage: Bacteria; Bacillati; Chloroflexota; Anaerolineae
Description: tRNA-Leu
Rfam family: tRNA
About the family: Transfer RNA (tRNA) molecules are approximately 80 nucleotides in length.
Source: RNAcentral
GCCGAAGUGGUGGAACGGCAGACACGCAGCGUUCAGGGCGCUGUGAGCAUUAGCUCGUGUGGGUUCAAAUCCCACCUUCGGCACCA